UGGGUAACCUGCCUCAAAGAGGGGAAUAGCCUCCCGAAAGGGAGAUUAAUACCGCAUAAUAUGUUUAAGUCGCAUGACUUUAACAUCAAAGGAUUUUCUUUAGAAAUUCCGCUUUGAGAUGGACCCGCGGCGCAUUAGCUAGUUGGUGAGGUAACGGCUCACCAAGGCAACGAUGCGUAGCCGACCUGAGAGGGUGAUCGGCCACGUUGGAACUGAGACACGGUCCAGACUCCUACGGGAGCAG
RNAcentral lists this ribosomal RNA (244 nucleotides) under uncultured bacterium. RNAcentral describes it as "partial 16S ribosomal RNA". It matches the Rfam family "Bacterial small subunit ribosomal RNA", at positions 118 to 347 of the family's 1533-position model. The record is from RNAcentral.